Molecule: unclassified non-coding RNA, 391 nt
Filed under: soil metagenome
Description: partial contains 5.8S ribosomal RNA, internal transcribed spacer 2, and large subunit ribosomal RNA
Rfam family: 5.8S ribosomal RNA (bases 1-122)
Source: RNAcentral
GAUGAAGAACGUAGCGAAAUGCGAUACUUGGUGUGAAUCGCAGAAUCCCGUGAACCAUCGAGUCUUUGAACGCAAGUUGCGCCCGAAGCCAUUAGGCCGAGGGCACGCCUGCCUGGGCGUCACACGUCGUUGCCCCCCCAUCUACUCCUUCGGGAUUGCGGGGGGCGGAUGAUGGCCUCCCGUGCGCCUCGCCGCGCGGUUGGCAUAAAUGCCAAGUCCUCGGCGACGCACGCCACGACAAUCGGUGGUUGCGAAACCUCGGUUGCCCGUCGUGUGCGGUCGUCGCGCAUCGAGGGCUCGAAAAAAUUGCCGGGUUCCGGCUCGGCUUUCAACGCGACCCCAGGUCAGGCGGGGUUACCCGCUGAAUUUAAGCAUAUCAAUAAGCGGAGGA